AUCCAUCUGACGAGUCUCAAAGAAGAUGAAACGUGCGUCAAACUGCAU
This 48-nucleotide non-coding RNA is filed under the name Schistosoma mattheei. Lineage: Eukaryota; Metazoa; Platyhelminthes; Trematoda; Strigeidida; Schistosomatidae. The record is from RNAcentral.